AGUCUCCUUUUCAUGAUUCCCUCUUAAACUCUGGGAUCCUUCAGGACAGCUGUAGCAUUGUCUAUAUAUUCACAGAAUAUUUAAGCCUGCCUUUUACACAGAGUUUACUAGAAUAUGAAAAAAAAAAUUAUCUAUUUUCUUUUUCCACUGGAGUUACAAAGUCCUCUGGAAAAUUAAGGACUUGGCCCCUGAGGUACAAUAGUCUUGGAUUGAUUUCUAUUAAGACUAAUAAUCAGUUCUGGAUAAAAUCAGUGUCUGUAGCACAAGACUAAAGAGAUUGUAUUUCAUUUGAGAAAGUUGGUAAAAAAGGAUCUUUGCCUUUGAUAGGAGAAUGCAUAUUCAGGUAUUGAUGCAGAUGUCACCUUUGGCAUAUGCUUUGCCAUGGAUAGUAAUCUUUCCCUCACUGAUUUUUCAGUCUUUCAGUGAUUGUGACUCCCAUUGCAAAACUGUAAGGGAUGUUUUGCUGUUAAGUGGAUCUUAACUACAGAUUCAGUCUGACAUUAUUACCCAGAAAUUCUUUGUCUGAAUUUCUCAGCUAAACUAGACUUGACAAGUUAUCCAUAGCUUGUUACAAGUAUUCAGUCUUUUUUAUUUGUAAUAUUUGUUUGUCUUGCAGAGAUGAACAGAAGAGGCAGCUGUUGAAGGUAUCUCUGGCAAAAUAUGGAAUGUCGUAGUCAAUAUUUUGGGCCUUGUGCAAGAGACAUCAAGAAGAGGUGGUAAACUCUUUAUCUCAUGGAGCCACAUUGCCCUGAAGUUGAGUUACAGAGGAUCAGAUGGAGGAAAAGGUGGAAAGGCUCAUUAUUGCAACUCCAGCAGGCUCCUGAGAUCCAGGGAAGAAUUAAGCCCCAAAAUAUGCUUUACACCAGUCCCAGCUUCAUGUUUCAGCAUGUGCCUUGUCACAGCAGCACUCAGCAGCACCACAGCUCCUCCUCACCUGCCUCUACCAGAUCUUCUCCCACACACCAGCUGUGUUGUGUGCUUGCAGAAGUCAACAAGAUGAGCUUAAGCCUUGCAAAGCAAGAAGUGAGAUGAAAAAGUGCUGAAAGCGUUCCUAAACCUUCCUUCUACUAGCUCCUGUAUGGAGGAAAUGUGUCUGAUUCAGCUUCAGCUACACUUUAAAUAACCUGCAGUGGCUGUUGAUCCACACCCAGCAU
Non-coding RNA from Cyanistes caeruleus (blue tit), 1154 nucleotides. The record is from RefSeq and is a predicted model, not a curated record. Lineage: Eukaryota; Metazoa; Chordata; Aves; Passeriformes; Paridae.